CCUCUCCCCUCAAUAGCAGCCCUUUCUCAAAAUCUCAGGUUACUUUGCUUAAAGAGUUCUCAGCCCUAUAGUUUCUGCCCUUGUCUCUGCCUCCAGCUCCUUAAGAGCCACCCAGCCCCAGCGAUUGGAUUGGGCAGCCCGUCUUGACACACCACUGUGCCGAGUGCUUGAGGACGUGUUUCAACAGAUGGUUGGGGUUAGUGUGUGUCAUCACACUCGAGUGGGGAUUAGGGGAGAGAGGCAGCCUUGCUGGAGCUGUGUGGUCUUCCCCAAGUGCGAGCUUGCAAGCAAAAGAAGAACUACCUAGCUCUGGGGGAGAAGAGAGAGGGAGGAAUCGUUUCCAGCAGCUCGGAGGGGAAAAAAUAAAACCCCACACUUGGUUCAGAUCUUCACACUAA
RNAcentral lists this long non-coding RNA (398 nucleotides) under Calidris pygmaea (Spoon-billed sandpiper). RNAcentral's name for it is "lncRNA (ENSCPGG00000000488.1)". The record is from RNAcentral. Lineage: Eukaryota; Metazoa; Chordata; Aves; Charadriiformes; Scolopacidae.